CUCACGGAGUACGAAGAAAGAAGGAGAGGUCAUUAACCAUCUUUCCAACGAGGCUGUGCUGAUCAACUUUCAAUCUUAGUUAUAGUUUUAUUUUAUUUAAUUAUUCUUUUAAAUUCUUUGUAAUUGAAUUUCAACUUUUAAUUAAUGUAAAAUUUAUUUUCUUACACUUUAAAUUUCUGUCUUUUAUUUUAUCAUAAGUAGA
Molecule: long non-coding RNA, 202 nt
Filed under: Elaeis guineensis (African oil palm)
Lineage: Eukaryota; Viridiplantae; Streptophyta; Magnoliopsida; Arecales; Arecaceae
Description: long non-coding RNA (EGUI_LNC066727)
Source: RNAcentral